This 61-nucleotide small RNA is filed under the name Plasmodium falciparum 3D7. RNAcentral describes it as "Pfa-npcR7439". The record is from RNAcentral. Lineage: Eukaryota; Apicomplexa; Aconoidasida; Haemosporida; Plasmodiidae.
CCCAAACCAAAUAUAUGUGAUAUUAUUAUACAUAUAUAAUUUAAUUUUAUCGAGUUUAUAA